UACGUAGGGUGCAAGCGUUGUCCGGAAUUAUUGGGCGUAAAGAGCUCGUAGGCGGUUUGUCGCGUCGGCUGUGAAAACCUGGGGCUCAACCCCGGGCCUGCAGCCGAUACGGGCAAGCUAGAAUUCGGUAGGGGAGACUGGAAUUCCUGGUGUAGCGGUGAAAUGCGCAGAUAUCAGGAGGAACACCGGUGGCGAAGGCGGGUCUCUGGGCCGAUAUUGACGCUGAGGAGCGAAAGCGUGGGGAGCGAACAGG
This 253-nucleotide ribosomal RNA is filed under the name uncultured bacterium. RNAcentral's name for it is "partial 16S ribosomal RNA". It matches the Rfam family "Bacterial small subunit ribosomal RNA", at positions 524 to 776 of the family's 1533-position model. The record is from RNAcentral.